Molecule: ribosomal RNA, 253 nt
Filed under: uncultured bacterium
Lineage: Bacteria
Description: partial 16S ribosomal RNA
Rfam family: Bacterial small subunit ribosomal RNA
Source: RNAcentral
UACGUAGGGCGCAAGCGUUGUCCGGAAUUAUUGGGCGUAAAGAGCUCGUAGGCGGUCUGUUACGUCCGCUGUGAAAACCCAGGGCUUAACCCUGGGCUUGCAGUGGAUACGGGUAGACUAGAGGCAGGUAGGGGAGAAUGGAAUUCCCGGUGUAGCGGUGAAAUGCGCAGAUAUCGGGAGGAACACCGGUGGCGAAGGCGGUUCUCUGGGCAGUAACUGACGCUGAGGAGCGAAAGCGUGGGGAGCGAACAGG